This 67-nucleotide transfer RNA is filed under the name marine eukaryotic metagenome. It matches the Rfam family "tRNA". From Rfam's summary of the family: Transfer RNA (tRNA) molecules are approximately 80 nucleotides in length. The record is from RNAcentral.
CGGCGUAGCUCAGGGGUAGAGCAACUGAUUCGUAAUCAGUAGGUCGUAGGUUCGAAUCCUACCGCCG